Long non-coding RNA from Gorilla gorilla gorilla (western lowland gorilla), 1099 nucleotides. RefSeq lists it as uncharacterized. The transcript is spliced from 2 exons. The record is from RefSeq and is a predicted model, not a curated record. NCBI's taxonomy places the organism in Eukaryota, Metazoa, Chordata, Mammalia, Primates, Hominidae.
AUCCCAAAUUCACAACCGCCUUCCUUCGCCCGGUCCUCGGGACCGCACUUUUCCCUCUUUGGACGAUGCCGCCUCCUCAACCUUGAAAGACCCCUCACAGGCCCCUUCCGAGACCCUCAGAGUCCCUAAAAGGGCUGCUGACACGCCCGCUGUUCUUAGCGGACAGUGAUUGGCUACCUGAAAGAUAGCGCCAGCCUCCUGCCUCUUCUCCCGACCCUGGCCUUCCGCAGUCCUUGUUUCCCAUUAGCCGGCCGUCCCGCUUGUCCGCUGCUGACCUGGUCUGAUUGGUAGGGUGCCUCCAACCUGCCGCAUUCCUGCCCCGCUCACUUCUAGCUCUAUUUCAAUUGGAUUUAGGACACGCCAUCUACUGUGCCUUCAUCUCUAUUGGCUAUCUCAACUUAAAGCUCUGCCUCCUCAGGCCUGUUCGACCUUCCUUCGAAACCACCCCAGCCUGCGAAUUCCCAUUGGUUGCUGGGCCUCUGUGUGUUCUUGCCCCUCCUGCUUGAUUUAACCCAGUCCCUUCUGCCUCCCUCCGACAACCUUUUUCCCAUCCGUAGCCUUAAAUUCCCGAGCUGCCCGGGCGGAUCGUAGUGUUGAUUGGAGGGAUGAGAAUACCCGCCGGGUCCGAUUGGCCACUGUCUCCGUCUGCGUUCUCGGAGUAGCUUCCCUGCGGGUGGGCUGGAGUUCGGCGGCCGGCGUAGGGCGCGGCCCGGCAGGGCGGUGGGAGCCUCCCCGGGGCUGCUCGUGUUGCAGCUUGGGAUGAUCCUGGCGGAACGCAGGACCCCAACUCCCAAACCUGCGGACCAUGACCACGGACGAGCCCUGUCCCGGCUCCCCACGUGCCCCAGGGGGACCAGAGCAGGCAGGACGCCUUCCAAGUUUUCAAGGGCCGCUGGUUGCCUACGCUUCGUCCCCUUGUUUCUUGAACAACCGUUAGGGACCAGGGGUACCCCUCAGGGAGGCCACAGUCCGGGGCUGGGGCGCUCACUGAUGCAGUGAUCACACAUGCAGAGAAGACUCGAAAACCAGUUAAAGAACAGUCAGUGGGGCCCGGCCUUGUAGCUCACACCUUUAAUACCACCACUUUGGGAGGCCGCGG